GACGAACGCUGGCGGCGUGCUUAACACAUGCAAGUCGAACGGAAAGGCCCUGCUUUUGUGGGGUGCUCGAGUGGCGAACGGGUGAGUAACACGUGAGUAACCUGCCCUUGACUUUGGGAUAACUUCAGGAAACUGGGGCUAAUACCGGAUAGGAGCUCCUGCUGCAUGGUGGGGGUUGGAAAGUUUCGGCGGUUGGGGAUGGACUCGCGGCUUAUCAGCUUGUUGGUGGGGUAGUGGCUUACCAAGGCUUUGACGGGUAGCCGGCCUGAGAGGGUGACCGGCCACAUUGGGACUGAGAUACGGCCCAGACUCCUACGGGAGGCAGCAGUGGGGAAUAUUGCACAAUGGGCGGAGGCCUGAUGCAGCAACGCCGCGUGCGGGAUGACGGCCUUCGGUUUGUAAACCGCUUUCGCCUGUGACGAAGCGUGAGUGACGGUAAUGGGUAAAGAAGCACCGGCUAACUACGUG
RNAcentral lists this ribosomal RNA (468 nucleotides) under uncultured bacterium. Its description in RNAcentral is "partial 16S ribosomal RNA". It matches the Rfam family "Bacterial small subunit ribosomal RNA", at positions 28 to 507 of the family's 1533-position model. The record is from RNAcentral.